Molecule: ribosomal RNA, 432 nt
Filed under: uncultured bacterium
Lineage: Bacteria
Description: partial 16S ribosomal RNA
Rfam family: Bacterial small subunit ribosomal RNA
Source: RNAcentral
UAGGAAUCUUCCACAAUGGACGCAAGUCUGAUGGAGCAACGCCGCGUGAGUGAAGAAGGUUUUCGGACCGUAAAGCUCUGUUGUUGGUGAAGAAGGAUAGAGGUAGUAACUGGCCUUUAUUUGACGGUAAUCAACCAGAAAGUCACGGCUAACUACGUGCCAGCAGCCGCGGUAAUACGUAGGUGGCAAGCGUUGUCCGGAUUUAUUGGGCGUAAAGCGAGCGCAGGCGGAAGAAUAAGUCUGAUGUGAAAGCCCUCGGCUUAACCGAGGAAUUGCAUCGGAAACUGUUUUCUUGAGUGCAGAAGAGGAGAGUAGAACUCCAUGUGUAGCGGUGGAAUGCGUAGAUAUAUGGAAGAAUACCAGUGGCGAAGGCGGCUCUCUGGUCUGCAACUGACGCUGAGGCUCGAAAGCAUGGUAGCGACAGGAUUAGAU